This 7446-nucleotide long non-coding RNA is filed under the name Nicotiana tabacum (common tobacco). RNAcentral's name for it is "long non-coding RNA (NTAB_LNC014473)". Lineage: Eukaryota; Viridiplantae; Streptophyta; Magnoliopsida; Solanales; Solanaceae. The record is from RNAcentral.
CUGUGCAACUCUACCUCAAGUCUCCGAAUGAAAAGUAGUUCAAGCGAGCCUCCACUAACCGCUGCUAGGACCAAUACUAGAAUCUGCACAAAAAAUGCAGAAGUACAGUAUGAGUACACCGACAUCAUGUACUUCGUAAGUGCCGAGACUAACCUCGACAAAGUAGUGAUGAGCCUAUAACAAGGCACUCACUAUAAACUUGUAUGAGUAAAAAUAAAAUAAUAACAGAAUAGAGAAAAUAAGAAUUUACAUGAAAAUCGGAACAGAAAGUACAUAACAGAGGGCCAAGAAUAUCGCCUAUGCUCAAGUUCACAUUAAAACACGAUUAUAGAACCAACAGUCAAGAAAAGUCAAAACAUGUCUUCUCCAUUGUGGUGCGUAAUCUAUUUCACACAUAUUUCAACAAUAUCAAUACUGUUAUGGCGUGCAACCCGAUUCCAAUCACAUUAUCACUAUAUGUUACAUCAUGCAACCCAAUCCCAAAUAAUAAUACCAUAUGCGUUACAGCAUGCAACUCGAUCCUAAACAAUCAUACCAACAUCUGUUGCGGCUUGCAACCCAAUCCCAAACAAUAAUACCAACAUCUGUUACGGCAGGCAACCCGAUCCCAAACAAUCAUAUCAUUACUACAAACAACUACGGUAUAUCUCUUAACAUAAGAGAAAGGAACCAAAGCAAGUAAAUACUCUACGGCAAGACAAUAUAAUAAACUAGAGCGAAAUAGAAGCAAGUAAAGGCAAAUAGAUAAUAAAGGAAUAAAAUAAGUAGCAAAAGAAGACAUGUAGCAAGGAAAUCAUGUAUUUAACAAAAAAGGAUAAGUAACACUGAAGGCAUGACAGAGAUUGUAGCACGGAGUAAAAGAAGACAUGAUAUAGAUAAAAUUACAUGUAAAGACCCACCCCGCAUGCUUAACCCAUGCCAACAUAUGUACACUCAUCACCUUCCACAUACGUCGUCCCCACAUGUGAAAUCAAGUAACAAAUAGACCAAUCAAGUCCUAUUUUUCUCUUCUGCAGUCAAAUUAACAAACAAUCACGGCCUUGACUUUCGAACAAUCCUCCAGCCCAACAGAAUCUAGUCAAUUAUUAAUCAAACAAUCGAAAUUAAGCUUUAAAAACUACCCGCAAAUGAAAAACGGUUUAAUUUUGAUAAUCUUUUGAAAAAGUCAACCCCAAGCUUGCUUGGUCGAAAUCCGAGAUUCCGAUCAAAUCUCAAUUACUCAUUCACCCCCGAGCCCGGUUAUGUGAUUUAUUUUGAAGUCCGACCUCUUUAAGGCGUAAAUUUUAGUUUUAUAAAAUUCCUAAAUUCUACCCAAAACCCUUAAUUUCUACAUUGGAAUUCAUAAAUUUGAUGUUAGAAAUUCAUGAAAAGUAAUUGAAAUUUAUUGUAAACUAGUUAAAGUUAAUUACCAAUGAAUUUGGGAAGAAAAUCCUCUUCAAAAAUUUCCUCUAGAGUGGUUAAGGUUAAAAAUGGUUAAAAAUGAGCCAAGUCCUGACUUUCCCAUCUUUUACCAGGGCAGGUAUCGCAAUUGCAAUGCGAACUAUUGACCACUGGAUCAGUGUCUGAGCCUCAGAAGUAUAGCAAAUGCGAAAAAGCCUUCGCAUUUGCGAAGGUCCAUCCCUCCGCAAAUGCAAACUAAGCUUCGCUUCUAUGAAGCUGCCCCCAAGCUCUCAGAGUCCCAAAUGCGAGACUCUUGCCGCAAUUACAAUUUCCCUCACCUUCUCAAAUGCGGCUCCUUAUUUGCAAAUGAGAAAUUACCCAAUCCCAGGCCACUUUGCAAAUGUGAUCCAUUGAUCUUAAAAGCGUUGCCCGCAAAUGCGGGAUCUGCAGGCUACACUAGUAACAGUCUUGCACCAACAAUUGCAAUUUCAACCAAAACUCGUCCGAAACUCAGCCGAACCACCCGAGUUCAAAACCAAAUAUGCAUAUAAGUGUAAUAACAUUAUAAAAACUCACUCUCUAACUAAAAUUACCAAAAUAACAUCAAAUAACAAGAAUCGAUCAUCAAAACUCAAGGAUUUCAACUUAAAACUCAAUUAUCACAAUCUUUCACAUAAUGUGCUGAAACACGCUUAGGUCACCUGGGGCCCCAAUAAAACAUGCAUACAAAUCUAAAAACAUCAUACGAACCUAAAGGAUUUGCCAUAAUACCAUUUCAAGGUCGUCUACCACAAAUGUUGACCGUAGUAACUCUAGCCUCAUUUUAAGCAAAACAAAAAUCUUUAAAAUUUUACGUAAAAAGUUUUUGAAAAGCGACAAGGACCAUGUAUGAAAAUCUAGAAUCAUCAAAAAAAGCUAGGAGAUGUCUAAGAACUCAGAAAUUAAGGCUAGUACUCAAAAUGACCUAUCGGAUCGUAACAGUGACCCAAGCGCAUUUUGGCGCAUUUUGUAAAAGACUGUGAAGAAUGAGUUUAAACUUAGAUAAUUUUCGAGUUUUGAUGAUCAAUUCAUGAUUUUUGAUGUUAUCUUGAUGAUUUGAGGUAUCGAGCGAGUUUGAAUGAUGUUAUUAAACUUAUAUAUAUAAGCCCUGGUGGCUCUAGUGAGUUUUUGGACCAUUUUUUGCCUUGUAGAGUUGCUAGUUUUUCUAUUGGUGCAUCAGUGCUUCGCGAAGCCACUACCGCGAUCACAAUAGGGAAACAUGGGGCUGGGGCUAGUUAUUCUACGCGAACGCAAGGGUAGGCUCGUGAAUACGAAAUCUUUGAGGGUCUGACCUUAACAAACGCGGCAAACCCUACGCAAACUCGUAGGUUUGGGAUGGCUGGGAAAGGCAUGAGGGGUUUCAUGAACACGAUGAGGAAACCUACUGAAAGUUGGCUGGGAAAUGCCUUCAUGAACACGAUGAGGAUCUCGCGAACACGAAGGCCGACAGGCCAUGUGCUCCGCGAUCGCGAAGAGUACCUGACACCCAAUUAAAUAAAAGAUGAAAAAUGGGAUUUCAUUAUCUUUCACCAUUUUUGAAAACCAGAGCUCGGCCUAGAGAUAUUUUCACUCCAAAUUCAUUGGUUAGUGCUUUUCAACUAGUUUUGAUGUAUUUCCAUAAUUGCCCAUUGAUUUUUAUCCUUAAUUUUAGUAGUUUCAAAGUAGAAAUUAGGAGUUAUAGGUAGAAAUUAGAAAAUUAGAAAAAUUGAGAUUCAUACCUGAAAUUGAGGUUGGAUUUCAAAAUAAAUCACAUACCCAGGUUCGGGGGUGAAUGGGUAAUCAGAUGUGAUGACCCAAAAGGUCAUCACUUGUGUUGCAAUGAAAUUCUACAUUCUGAGGCCUUAAAAACCUCCCUUAGCACCACCUUGAUUUGCAUGCACAGUCCGGGCGUGUAGCUGGAAAGCUUAAAUGUGAAAAUCUAUGAAAAAUGAUUAGUUUUGACUGUAAAAUGAAUAAUUCGACUUCAGUCAACUUUUUGGGUAAACGGACCCGGACCCAUGAUUUGACGGUCCUGAAAGGUCCGUAGGAAAAUAUGGGACUUGGGCAUAUGCCCGGAAUCGGAUUCCGAGGUCCCAAGCCCGAGAAAUGAAUUUUUAAAGAAAUUUUUUUUCUGAAAUUGUUUAAAGAAAUUUGAAAUGAAAUUUGCUUAGAACAUGAUGGUAUCGGGCCCGUAUUUUUGUUCCCGUGCCCGAUACAAGUCUUUUAUAUGAUUUAAGACGUUUUUGUGGAUUUUGGUGAAAAACGGAUGUCAUUUGAAGUGAUUCGGACUUAAAUUGCAAAAUUGAUGUUUAAAGAAGUUUUAAGAAAUUUUUUUUGAUCUCGAGGUUUAAUUUGAUGUUCAUGAUUUUAUUUUGGUGAUUUGAUUACACGAAUAAGUCUGUAGGAUGUUUUUGAGGUUUUGUGUGCACUUGGUUUGGAGUUCCGAGGGCUCGGUUGAGUUUCGGGUAGGUUUCGGGAUGUUUUAAGCUAAAAACCAUAAUUGGAGGCCUCUGAACCCGCCAGUGCGGUCCGCGGUCGGGCUUGUGCGGUGCGCGGUGUAGGGCUGUGCGGCUGCAGUCGACUUUGUGCGGUCUGCACAGGGGUAUUGUUGUGCGGCCGCAGUGGACUUUAUGUGGUCCACACAGGGCACUGGACUGCAAUAUCCUCAGGAAGGGUUGUGCGGUCCGCACAGGAUAUUUGAGAGGGGUAUAAAUAGAUGGGAUUUCCAGUUAUUUUCAUUUUUCAAAACCCCAUAAACAUAAGAAGCGAUUUUUCAAACAACCUUUCUUAUCCAAAUCAAUUGUAAGUCGUUUUUAACUAGUUUUCUUCAAUCAUUAACACCUUUUAACAUGAUUUCAACUUCAAACCAAUGAUUAUCAUGGAGGAAAUUGGGUGUUUUGGGUAGAACCUAGGUUUUUCAAAAAUUGGGAAUUUGGACCUCGAUUUGAGGUUCGAUUUCAAAACAAUUUACAUAUUUGAGCUCGUGGGGGAAUGAGUAACCGGGUUUUGGUUCGAACCUCGGGUUUUGACCACGUGGGCCCGGGGGCGAUUUUGACUUUUUGGGUAAAACUUUGGAAAACUUAUUUUCAUGCAUUCAAAUUGAUUCAUCUAGCAUUUAUUGAUGUAAUUAAUUAACUUGUGGCUAUAUACGAGCGAAUUGGUGGAGGAAGAAAGGGGUAAAGCUAUAAUCGAAACUUGAGUUGUGUUCGAGGCAUCGAGGUAAGUGUUUGGUCUAACCUUAGCUUGAGGUAUUAGGAGUUGUGUCUUAUUUGCUACAUGUUAAUUGUGGAGUACGACGCAUAGGCAUGGUGACGAGUAUCUAUACGUUGGUGUCAAGCAUGCUCGUGAGUCUUGUAUUAUAAUUGUUAUGACUCCGUUGUGGUUUAUUGCGCUUCAUAUGUUGUUAUCACCAUUGUUCCCUUGCCGGGAUGUUUGUUUGAUAUAAAUGAUCCCUUGCCGGGAUGUUUCUUUCGAUAGUAUUGUUCCCUUGCCGGGAUGUUGUUGAAAUAUCAUUUUUCCCUUGUCGGGAAGUUGUUAUAGUACUCUUGUUCCCUUGCCGGGAUUCCUUGUGAUUAUUGUUGGCUUGUAACUGGGAGUGGGUGGUACGUCUACCACAAGAUAUAAUGAAAUGGGAGCGGGUGGUUUGCCUACCACAAGAUAUAAUGAAAUGGAGUGGGUGGUACGCCUACCACAAGAUAUAAAUUAAUGGGAGCGGGUGGUAUGCCUACCAUGAGAUAAAUGAAAUGGGAACGGGUGGCACGCCUUCCACGAGAAAAUGAAAUGGGAGCGGGUGGCACAUCUACCAAGAGAUACAUGAAACGGGAUCGGGUUGCACGCCUGCAACAAGAUGUGAAAAAAAAAGUGAAAUCUGCCUUUGUUUUCCUUAUUCUUGUUAGUGGUUGGAUUUUGAUUCCCUUGUAAUUCUCUUGAUAUUCUGUUUUUACUUGUUAUUCUCCCGAAGCAUGUUUUCUCCCCUCCCAUCUUUACUUGUUUAUUCAUGUUUUACUUUCCGUUGUAUAUUAUAUAACUCAACAGGUUUACUUGGUAGUCUGGUCCUAGACUCAUCACUACUUCGCCGAGGUUAGGCUAGGCACUUACCAGCAUAUGGGGUCGGUUGUGCUGAUGCUACACUCUGCACUCUGUGCAGAUAUCGGAGCAACAUUGGAUCAGUAGCUUGGGAGCCAGCCUUCAGUCCACAGAGAUUCCGAGGUAGUCCUGCAGGCGUCCGUAGGCCCGGCGUCUCUUCUAUCUAUUAUCAUGUUCUGUUAUCACUUGUAUCCGAGACAAACUGUGUUUCUUUCCUUCAGACAAUUGUAUGUUGUCACACCUCCUUUUUGCACACCCCUCAAGGGGUAUAAGGGAGUUUUUCCAAUUUAAGUGACAAUCGAAACGGGAUUAUUUAUAAAAAUCAGAGUCGCCACUUGGAAUAAUUUAUGGUGUUCCAAGUCACCGAUUAAAAUCCUGAAUCGAGGAAAUUGACUCUAAUUACGGUCUACGAACACAGAAAUUCGAGUAAGGAAUUCUAUUAACACAGGAGAAGGUGUUAGGCACUCUCGAGUUCCGUGGUUUUAGCACGGUCGCUUUGAUCAUACAUGGCUUAAUCAGAUUGUUUAAUUACUCAUUUUAGAACCUAUGUGUAUUAGCCGCUUCUAAUUAGGAAAUUAUCUUGAAACGGGUCACGCGUACGUGUACCCAUUUGUUUGGCACGUCAAAAAUCAUGUCAUGCGAACGUGUCCACAAUUAAUAACACUUUAUUAUUGUUAAGAAAGUUUGGCCGAAAUUGCGCGAACGCAUACUCCGAUUUUGUUUUUAGAAUCGUAAUUAUGUCAUGCGAACGUGCACACUAUCACAAUAAUUUGAUUAACUAAGAGUAUGCCAAAAUUUUCAUAGCAAGAUAUUUGAUAAUCACGAUAUUUUGCUAAUUAUUACAUCAGCCAAAUAAAGAAAGCAUUUCACACAUGAAAAUCGGACACUAUUCUGUCUCAGCUAACAUACAUAUACUCUGCAUCUAUUAUUUAUUUCCUUUAGACAAAUUCAUUGUACAAUUUGAUUCAUCCUAAGUUUUCCUCCAAUUUUGAGACUCUCCGCUAGUCAUGUAAGCAGAACUGGUAACGACCCAAAAGAGCACAAAAUAUUGAUCCGCAUAUCACAAUCAAACUGCAGAAUGACCACCAAAAUUAAUUACCCAGCGGUAUCCGUGAAAGCUCACUAUAAAAUAUCAAGAAUGAAACAGUGUGCAUCACUUGGCAUUUUUGCGGACAAACACCAAAAAUCGGUUAUAUUAGGUUGAAGGAACUAAAGGUUUAAAGCAACAAAUCAAAUACUCAUGUUCAACAGAGAGUGACAAACUCAUAACAUUUAACAAAACCAUGCGUUUAAGUGCGGAAUGAAACUGAAAAUAUUGAGAUAAGAUAAAAUGAACGUUUGCAAUUACUUGACUGCUUCUUUCAAAAUUCAAACAAGGAUGAACCUCUGACCGGAGCCGGGACUGUUAAACGGAAAAUCAUCGACAACAACGACAAUACCUCGACUUGCAGCUGAACGGAGACUCGGACAGCAACUUCCGACGACUCGAAGCUCACCGGAAAAACUUGAACCAAAUAAAAACGACGAAGAUGAACUCCAACUGAUUUUGAAUUUAUUUUUAGCUAUUUUUGAGUUGGAUUUUGGACUGAAACUGUAGUAUUUUGAAGGUGGUUUGGCUGGGUAUGCGUCAAUGGAGCAGAGAUGGCAGGUUCGCCGAUGGGGGAAGGUCUUUAGUUCUCUGCCGCUACUUUUGUAUUGAAGAGAGGGUCUGUUUUUAUGUGGAGAUGGGAUCGUUUAUUGUAAGGGAAACGGGUGGAGAAGAAGGUGAAGAAGAGGGGUUUUCGAUGGGUGUUCAGCGGCUGAAGAAGAUGACUAACGGGGGGGUGGGGUUUUCCUUUAAAAGCUGCGCCCCAAAUUUCUUCUCCCCCUUUUAGAUUUUUUAAGCAUUAAUUUAUAGGUAGAGUCUAGGUUUAGGUGUAUCUUUGUGUAUUUUGCCCAUUAGUCCCUAGAUCUUUUGUGUUA